This 254-nucleotide ribosomal RNA is filed under the name uncultured bacterium. RNAcentral describes it as "partial 16S ribosomal RNA". It matches the Rfam family "Bacterial small subunit ribosomal RNA", at positions 524 to 776 of the family's 1533-position model. The record is from RNAcentral.
UACAGAGGUCCCAAGCGUUGUUCGGAUUCACUGGGCGUAAAGGGCGCGUAGGCGGCCACCGCAAGUCGACUGUGAAAUCUCCGGGCUUAACCCGGAAAGGUCAGCCGAUACUGCGGGGCUAGAGUGCAGAAGGGGCAACUGGAAUUCCUGGUGUAGCGGUGAAAUGCGUAGAUAUCAGGAGGAACACCUGCGGCGUAGACGGCUUUCUGGACCAUUGUUGACGCUGAGACACGAAAGCGUGGGUAGCAAACAGG